This 345-nucleotide unclassified non-coding RNA is filed under the name soil metagenome. Its description in RNAcentral is "partial contains 5.8S ribosomal RNA, internal transcribed spacer 2, and large subunit ribosomal RNA". The stretch from base 1 to 120 matches the Rfam family "5.8S ribosomal RNA", at positions 35 to 154 of the family's 154-position model. The record is from RNAcentral.
GAUGAAGAACGUAGCGAAAUGCGAUACGUAAUGUGAAUUGCAGAAUUCAGUGAAUCAUCGAGUCUUUGAACGCACAUUGCGCCUCCUGGUAUUCCGGGGGGCAUGCCUGUCCGAGCGUCAUUGCUGCCCUCAAGCACGGCUUGUGUGUUGGGCCUCCGUCCUCCUCCCGGGGGACGGGCCCGAAAGGCAGCGGCGGCACCGCGUCCGGUCCUCGAGCGUAUGGGGCUUCGUCACCCGCUCUUGUAGGCCCGGCCGGCGCUUGCCGACACAUCAAUCUUUUUUCCAGGUUGACCUCGGAUCAGGUAGGGAUACCCGCUGAACUUAAGCAUAUCAAUAAGCGGAGGA